AUGCCGGAACCUCUGUUUCCAAAUUUUCUCGAGGCGCACGACCUUGCGCAUUGCGACGGGCUGGUGCUCGUGGGAACCCGGUCCGCAGCGUGGGUGCUCAACCCAGUGAUGCGCCGCGUCGUGGAAUUACCCUGGGGCCGCCUUGGCGAUUCAACGUCCUUCAGCUACCUCGAGGCGUUCGGUCUCGGGCGCGACCCUCGCUCCGACGCCUACAAGGUCGUUCGUUUCUUCACGCCUCCGCGUGUAGAGGUGUUGACGAUUGGAAGCUCAGACCGGUGCUGGCACGAGACCGUGUCAAAACCCCCGUGGUUUCACGUCAAGAGGCGGCCGGCGGCGAUCUGCUUCAAGGGGUCCUUGAUCUGUACCGUUGAUCAAAAGGAUCGUAAUGGUCAAUUGGGUUUUCUGUGGUUCAGGUUGGAUGAAGAAACAUUCAGCCUCAUUCCACCACCUCCUUGCUGGUCAUGGGACGACUACGAGGUAUCCACUUUAUCUGAGUUGAGGCAAGUGCUGUGCUUGACCACAAGUGUAGGGUUAAUGAAUCGAUCCCUUGACAUGUGGAUAUGCACCGACUUGGACCUUCCACAAUGGGAGAAGUGCUACAACAUCCUCUCUGACUGGACCCAACCUCUUCAUCCGGUGGCUAUGUUGGGUAAUGGAGUACUCGUGUGCCGAUCCUCUGGUAAUUAUCUGCACCGCUGCACUUUUCAACCUGGAAAAGGUGUCACGGUCAACCAUACAAUUUGUAUGAAAGACCUAAGAUAUGACAACGUCGACGAAGGCACGCUUGUUGAAUAUCCAAGCCGAACUGCCACAUACUUUGAUGCAAUCCCCUACGUCCCAAGCUUCGUCUUGAUCUAG
This 858-nucleotide ribosomal RNA is filed under the name Triticum aestivum (bread wheat). Its description in RNAcentral is "partial small subunit ribosomal RNA". Lineage: Eukaryota; Viridiplantae; Streptophyta; Magnoliopsida; Poales; Poaceae. The record is from RNAcentral.